This is a non-coding RNA of Peromyscus maniculatus bairdii (prairie deer mouse), 1386 nucleotides long. NCBI's taxonomy places the organism in Eukaryota, Metazoa, Chordata, Mammalia, Rodentia, Cricetidae. The record is from RefSeq and is a predicted model, not a curated record.
ACCUAGGAGACAAAUCUCCUGGCAUGUCACUGAAGUUACUACACUGGGUUAACUGAGGGAGGAAGACCCGCCCUAGAUAUGGAUGUCACCAUCCCAGGGGCUGGGGGCCUAGACAGAAUGAAAAGCAGAAAGAGAACUGAGCACUGGCACUCAUCUGGCCCUGCAUCACAAACGCAGAAGCAACGUGACCAGACUCCUCAAGCUCCCAUUGCCAUGACGUUGCCGCCACGAUGGAGCAUGUCCUUCCACCGUGAGCCCAAAUAACCUUCCUUACUUCAGCUGUUUCAUCAGAGUCUGGUGAAGCCUAGGCUGGUCUUGAACUCAUCACACAGUGGAGCAUGGCCUAGAGCUCCGACUCCUUCCACUUCCCAGUGCAGGGACUUCAGACAGGAUUUCCCUUGCUCUGGCUGUCCUGGAACUCACUAUGUUAAGACCAGGCUGCACCAGGACCACAUAGAUCUGCCUACCCCUGCUUUCCUGGUGCUAAGAUUAAAGGUAUGUGCUAGCACAGGUGGCCAGUGUCUUUUCAAUUACAAUGAUAAUGCAGAUAAGAUACACUGCAAGUAUGCAACAUGAUGGUGUGGGCUGAGGGGACUUAGUGGGUAAAGGGCUUGCUAAAGCAUGAGGACCUGAGUUCAGAUUUCUAGCACAAACAUUAAAGCCAGAUGUAGUGGCAUACAUCUAUAACCCUAGAACCAGAGAAGGGGUGUGAGAAAGGCAGAUCCGGGGUCCUGUUGGCCUGUCUGGCUGAGAUGGUAUUCUCAGUUCAGUAAGAGAUCUGGAGGAAAAAAAAAAAAGAAAAGAAAAAGGAAAGAGGAAAAAAAAAAAAAAGAGAGAGAUCUUGAGAAAAUGUAAUGUAAUGGCCUAGAUUUCACCAGAGGAUGAUCUGGGACACCCACAUUUGCACAACAGCCCUAGGAAUCACAUCUUUGGUCUUCUUCUCAGAGGUGCCCAUAGCUCAGCUGCUGGGUAGCAUCUAGGAGGGGCUAUUAUACCUGAGCCACAGGCUCCUAUGCUGAAUAGAGCUUUUGGAAAAGAGAAACAGCUGGAAUGUGGCCAAUUCCAUAUACCUCUCUUGGGAAAGAGUGCUUAGCAGCUUUACCCACAUUUACAUCUUCCCUCCUGGGAUGGGGGACUUGGGCCUUCAUUCCAGGAAGCCCUAGCUUGGAAGAGCAGGGAUCAGUCAUUUGAGAGAGGCCAGGCUGGCAUCUUGUACAGAGGAACAGGCCUGGGGACACAAUCCACAGACACAGGAUUCAGGGCUUCACACCAGCGGCUCUGUCUUCGACCAAAUAAAAAGCAGUCUACGAACAGGUAGAAAACUCUUUACAAGUUUAUUUGACAUUAAACCUUUCCCCUGGGCUGCACAUUAGUUCCUCAAAGGCA